UCAUAAUAUUGGGUGAUUUCUAAAUGACAAAAAUGCCAUAUUGAAUAUGCUGCUCCAAUAUCACUUCUGCCUGGACAAAAUCACCCCUCUGAUUUAAUGAAAUUACACACCGCGUCACCAAACCACCCUCACAUUCCCCACCUGUUUCAGCCCACUUGUCAACCCUCAUUUUCUUUAUCUUCUUCUCUCUCUUCUCUAUUUCUUUUUCAACUUCUCCUUCCUCCAUUGAAGAACACCCUUCCUCCAUGGAAGAACUCAAAAUAGAUAGACUGUUUCUUUAAUAACCGAUCAUUACUUUUCAAUUCUCCGAAUCUAUGAAAUCAUUAUCGAGUCAAAGCUUCUUCUUCGUAAGAAUCCAAAUCAUUAUAAAGGAGUUAUGCAGAAGUAGAGAGAAAAAGGUGAUUUUGAGAUCGGCGGCGGUAGGUGUCUGGGAAGGCAAUGGGAUUACAACGAUGGCAGAGGAGGAGCUUGGCGAAUUCAAUGGUUGAGUUGAUUCGGCCGUUGCUGGCGAAUUCAACGGUGGAGAAAGAUAAAUUUGUGAAGAGAUGGACUCAAACUAGUCAAAUUGUAACAAGUUAAUUAAUCCAUCUGCUCCGCCCUACAUCACCCCCAUAACCUCAUGAACUGGGCAGGAGUAACUUUCUUGAAGAACGGUAAAGUGAGGGUACUUGUGUAAUUGUAGUUGAAUAUCAAUCAAACAAACAUUUGUACAUUUUCUUUUAUCAAUAUAAAUAAUACCUAAUAUUACAAUAUUUUGAAUAUUAUAAUAUUCGAGAUAUCACAUAUAAAACGACCCCUUAUAAAUGUAAGUUCAGGAAUUUAACCGAGGACAAUAUGUUUUUAUGAAACAUAUUAUCGAUCAAAUUAAUAUAUUUAGAGAAAAG
RNAcentral lists this long non-coding RNA (884 nucleotides) under Linum usitatissimum (flax). Its description in RNAcentral is "long non-coding RNA (LUSI_LNC002681)". The record is from RNAcentral. Lineage: Eukaryota; Viridiplantae; Streptophyta; Magnoliopsida; Malpighiales; Linaceae.